Molecule: ribosomal RNA, 301 nt
Filed under: uncultured bacterium
Lineage: Bacteria
Description: partial 16S ribosomal RNA
Rfam family: Bacterial small subunit ribosomal RNA
Source: RNAcentral
CAGUAGCCGCGGUAAUACGAAGGGGGCUAGCGUUGUUCGGAAUCACUGGGCGUAAAGAGCACGUAGGCGGAUCUUUAAGUCAGGGGUGAAAUCCCGAGGCUCAACCUCGGAACUGCCUUUGAUACUGGGGAUCUCGAGUCCGGGAGAGGUGAGUGGAACUGCGAGUGUAGAGGUGAAAUUCGUAGAUAUUCGCAAGAACACCAGUGGCGAAGGCGGCUCACUGGCCCGGAACUGACGCUGAGGUGCGAAAGCGUAGGGAGCAAACAGGAUUAGAUACCCCUGUAGUCCCUGUCUCUUAUAC